This 333-nucleotide unclassified non-coding RNA is filed under the name soil metagenome. Its description in RNAcentral is "partial contains 5.8S ribosomal RNA, internal transcribed spacer 2, and large subunit ribosomal RNA". The stretch from base 1 to 120 matches the Rfam family "5.8S ribosomal RNA", at positions 35 to 154 of the family's 154-position model. The record is from RNAcentral.
GAUGAAGAACGUAGCGAAAUGCGAUAAGUAAUGUGAAUUGCAGAAUUCAGUGAAUCAUCGAAUCUUUGAACGCACAUUGCGCCCGCCAGUAUUCUGGCGGGCAUGCCUGUUCGAGCGUCAUUUCAACCAUCAAGCUCUGCUUGCGUUGGGGAUCCGCGGCUGCCCGCGGUCCCUCAAAACCAGUGGCGGGCUCGCUAGUCACACCGAGCGUAGUAACUUUACAUCGCUAUGGUCGUGCGGCGGGUGCUUGCCGUAAAACCCCCCAUUUUUUAAGGUUGACCUCGGAUCAGGUAGGAAUACCCGCUGAACUUAAGCAUAUCAAUAAGCGGAGGA